This is a long non-coding RNA of Hemicordylus capensis (graceful crag lizard), 566 nucleotides long. RefSeq lists it as uncharacterized. The record is from RefSeq and is a predicted model, not a curated record. The transcript has 2 exons. NCBI's taxonomy places the organism in Eukaryota, Metazoa, Chordata, Lepidosauria, Squamata, Cordylidae.
UAGAUAUAGAGAGCAGAAUCCAAGCAAAGAUAUUAUUUUCUAGGUUUCCUUCAAAUAUGACUUUUAGGAGCCAAAAAGAAAAAAAAAAUCUGGCAGAAGUCAAAUUCAACUUUUUGAAUUUCAAACGUAAUAAAAGUUUGAAUUAGGCUGAAAUUUCAUUACAACACCCUCCCCAAGACUUGUCUAUCAUCAGCAAUAAGACGCUGAGAGGAGCAGCUGCACAUGAUGGAAGUCUCCUUUCCAUGUAGCUGUGGCAGAGCUGCUUGGGCCAGGACUGAAUCUAGCAACAGCCGUAGCAAGGAAUGAAAGGCGGAGCCACUGAGUGACACUUGAUGAACUGUUGGUGCAAUGGAAGCUGCUGUCAGGUCCCUCUGCAGAGAGUAUUAAUUACCUCCCUCACACCUUGACUAAUGAACAGAAGAUGCUCCUUGAGCUGGCUUUGCACAGGAAAAACGGGUGCCUGCCUGGAACACUUCCUAGGAACAAUUAAAGGAUUAUUAGAGUAGAUACACUUGACUUCCUCUAGUAAAUGUGAAGAAAUAAAAGGGAUUUUAUCCAGACCUCCA